AAGCAAACAAAAUAGAUAAGAAAUAUGUUCAUAAUGUUAACAGUGUAAUAAACAGUUAGGAUAGUCAUACAUAACAUCAAUUAUCAUUCUCACACAAUAAUUCACAAAAUAACAACGACAAUCAUAAUGCUAAUGUACUAAUGCAAUGUACUCCUCCUCAUAUAAUGCAUGUGGUACCAAAAGUUUGGAUGUCCGAGUUAUUUUACGGGAAUAUUCAUGUCUCCAACUCC
RNAcentral lists this long non-coding RNA (230 nucleotides) under Lathyrus oleraceus (garden pea). RNAcentral describes it as "Pisum sativum (pea) long non-coding RNA (PSAT_LNC028166)". Lineage: Eukaryota; Viridiplantae; Streptophyta; Magnoliopsida; Fabales; Fabaceae. The record is from RNAcentral.